Sorghum bicolor (sorghum) is the source of this 2152-nucleotide long non-coding RNA. RefSeq lists it as uncharacterized. Lineage: Eukaryota; Viridiplantae; Streptophyta; Magnoliopsida; Poales; Poaceae. The transcript is spliced from 4 exons. The record is from RefSeq and is a predicted model, not a curated record.
UCAUCCUGCAUAUCAUGAACCUGGCCUUGAGCAGCAUCACCAGGCCCGGCCACUACUUCACCAAUCUAGCAAUUUGGUUGGGCAAUAAAUGGGAUUAGAUUAACUAGAAAUUAAAGGUUAGAUGGCAACAAAGAAAGGCAGUAGCAUGUCAAGGAUAGAUGGCUCCCAGAGUGCAUAACUACAUCUUGAUGCGAUAAAAUAGCCCCAAAUAAUUAAGUCAAAAACUUAAAUCGUUGCAGCUGGAGAUUGAUUUAUGCCGUAGUGAUGAUCAUCAGAAAAAGCAGUUUGGCUUCUCUCUGUUUCUGCUUUCUGAAAUGCUGGCUUCUCUGUUCUCUCUAAACUGAUGUAUUUCCAUUGCUCUGGUAAUGGAAAUGGGAAAGCCUCGGUUCGAAAAAAACAAGUCACAAUUGCAUUAAAAAAUAAACAUGUACAGAAAACCUUGUCAAAAUCAAGUAGUUUCUUAUGAAAAAGGUAAAGAAAAAAAUUCACAGCAUGUUUAGUCUGGUACAAUCUCCAGGAGCAAAACCGCUAUGAACUAGCUGUCGUAUUCAGAACACAAUCCCUGAAUAUGGAUUAUGGAAGACUAAAAUAGCACCAACUUUUGGUAAUUCGGGACCACUUUUACCAUGUCAAAAAUUUGCUACCAAUUCAUAUGGAAGUACAUGAUAAACUAACAUACUGAAGCAACCAAAAUGAUAAGACAACUAUACUUCUGUGAUUAAAUUUGGCAAGUUCAUAGAAUAUUAAUAUUCUUUCAAGUUCACUAUUCAGAAAGAGAAACCUAAACAUGAAAUGCUCAUAUCUAAGAUCGAGUUACUGGAAACACCUUCUUACUUGGUUUUGGAUUACUUGGGAGGCAGUUCUGUAUCGAUCACGUAUUAGCCUCCCUGGUUCAACUGCAAACAAAGCACGCUAAUACCUGAGCCAGACCAUGCAACUGAUACAAAAAAAUGUGAAAAGACAAUCAAUUUCUACUAAUCGCUGCACAUUUUGAUCUGGUGAAACAUAACGAUGACUGAUUUUCAUUCAUAACUAAUAUGGAGAGUUCCUCCCUCAUAUUCCUAAAAUUUAUAGUUCUGAACAAUACCAAAUUUUGAAGCUGGGGAUUAACAGAAGCACCAAGAACCAACUUUGACGGUUCACUCUUAACCAACUAAUCAAAGACUAAAUAAAGUAUAAUUUCUGAACGAAAAGAAGACAUGAAGCAAGUUUUUCAAUGUUUGGAAUAAAGUCCAUAUUAGCAUGGAAAAAUGACAAAGUGAGUAGCAUCUGAACAGCAGUUUGGCAAAUUAUGGCAAAGUGAUAAGGCACAUAGGGAUAUAUAGUUCAAGUGAUUCUUGACCUGCUUUUUCUGAUUACCAGUUCAAAUUACCAGUUCAGAACACAGCAAAAUAGUUUCUGGAGGUGAUGAUCAAUACUCUAUCAUAGUCUGGGAUAAGCAGAUUUUCAACCUUUUGGAAUAACUAAAGGGCCAGGAAGCACCGGAAGAGAUUGUUCAUAAUGGACCCUAUACAAAACAAUGAAGGUCGUACGCCAUUUGCAGACUUGACAAACUCCAUUAAUGGAGCUGUUCAUACAUCAUCAAAUUCACAAGUGCAAGCUGAUGAACGUGUGCAACGUAAAAGGGAAAGAGAAAAGGCAAGACAUGCAACAAUGAGUCAAGAACAAAGGGAUGAAAAAAAUAAAAAACGUAGAGAAAAAUAUCAUAAAAAAAGGCAGAAACUUCACAAGCUGCUGGGUCUAGAGGUCCACCGUAUUCUAAUUUUUCGUUUUUGAAUUUUGUAUUACCAUUUUUUUCGUUUAUGUGAGACAUAUAGUAUUGUAUAUCACCUACUUGUAUUAGUCAUUUGUUUGCUUAUUUAGAAUAUAAUUAUGUUGUACCAGAUGGAUUUAAAUCAACCACGGAAAACACCAAUGGCUAUGAAGAUAGUGACUGGCUACAUCGAGACAAUUCAUAUAAACCCGUUUCGAGUGAUAAAGAAAACACAUAUAAUUACUCCGAUAGAUAUGUAGAUCAAAGUGGCAUGCUUGACUUGACUGUUGCAUCACCUGAUCUAAACCCAGGUAUAUUAUUUUUUUAUUAAUGUUAUCUAUUUGAGAAGAAAAAAUAGAGUGGCCAACCCAAUUGUCAUUCAUGACAAUGUAACACGGA